UUAAGCGACUAAGCGUACACGGUGGAUGCCCUGGCAGUCAGAGGCGAUGAAGGACGUGCUAAUCUGCGAUAAGCGUCGGUAAGGUGAUAUGAACCGUUAUAACCGGCGAUUUCCGAAUGGGGAAACCCAGUGUGAUUCGUCACACUAUCAUUAACUGAAUCCAUAGGUUAAUGAGGCGAACCGGGGGAACUGAAACAUCUAAGUACCCCGAGGAAAAGAAAUCAACCGAGAUUCCCCCAGUAGCGGCGAGCGAACGGGGAGGAGCCCAGAGCCUGAAUCAGUGUGUGUGUUAGUGGAAGCGUCUGGAAAGGCGCGCGAUACAGGGUGACAGCCCCGUACACAAAAAUGCACAUAUUGUGAGCUCGAUGAGUAGGGCGGGACACGUGGUAUCCUGUCUGAAUAUGGGGGGACCAUCCUCCAAGGCUAAAUACUCCUGACUGACCGAUAGUGAACCAGUACCGUGAGGGAAAGGCGAAAAGAACCCCGGCGAGGGGAGUGAAAAAGAACCUGAAACCGUGUACGUACAAGCAGUGGGAGCACGCUUAGGCGUGUGACUGCGUACCUUUUGUAUAAUGGGUCAGCGACUUAUAUUCUGUAGCAAGGUUAACCGAAUAGGGGAGCCGAAGGGAAACCGAGUCUUAACUGGGCGUUAAGUUGCAGGGUAUAGACCCGAAACCCGGUGAUCUAGCCAUGGGCAGGUUGAAGGUUGGGUAACACUAACUGGAGGACCGAACCGACUAAUGUUGAAAAAUUAGCGGAUGACUUGUGGCUGGGGGUGAAAGGCCAAUCAAACCGGGAGAUAGCUGGUUCUCCCCGAAAGCUAUUUAGGUAGCGCCUCGUGAAUUCAUCUCCGGGGGUAGAGCACUGUUUCGGCAAGGGGGUCAUCCCGACUUACCAACCCGAUGCAAACUGCGAAUACCGGAGAAUGUUAUCACGGGAGACACACGGCGGGUGCUAACGUCCGUCGUGAAGAGGGAAACAACCCAGACCGCCAGCUAAGGUCCCAAAGUCAUGGUUAAGUGGGAAACGAUGUGGGAAGGCCCAGACAGCCAGGAUGUUGGCUUAGAAGCAGCCAUCAUUUAAAGAAAGCGUAAUAGCUCACUGGUCGAGUCGGCCUGCGCGGAAGAUGUAACGGGGCUAAACCAUGCACCGAAGCUGCGGCAGCGACGCUUAUGCGUUGUUGGGUAGGGGAGCGUUCUGUAAGCCUGUGAAGGUGUGCUGUGAGGGUUGCUGGAGGUAUCAGAAGUGCGAAUGCUGACAUAAGUAACGAUAAAGCGGGUGAAAAGCCCGCUCGCCGGAAGACCAAGGGUUCCUGUCCAACGUUAAUCGGGGCAGGGUGAGUCGACCCCUAAGGCGAGGCCGAAAGGCGUAGUCGAUGGGAAACAGGUUAAUAUUCCUGUACUUGGUGUUACUGCGAAGGGGGGACGGAGAAGGCUAUGUUGGCCGGGCGACGGUUGUCCCGGUUUAAGCGUGUAGGCUGGUUUUCCAGGCAAAUCCGGAAAAUCAAGGCUGAGGCGUGAUGACGAGGCACUACGGUGCUGAAGCAACAAAUGCCCUGCUUCCAGGAAAAGCCUCUAAGCAUCAGGUAACAUCAAAUCGUACCCCAAACCGACACAGGUGGUCAGGUAGAGAAUACCAAGGCGCUUGAGAGAACUCGGGUGAAGGAACUAGGCAAAAUGGUGCCGUAACUUCGGGAGAAGGCACGCUGAUAUGUAGGUGAAGUCCCUCGCGGAUGGAGCUGAAAUCAGUCGAAGAUACCAGCUGGCUGCAACUGUUUAUUAAAAACACAGCACUGUGCAAACACGAAAGUGGACGUAUACGGUGUGACGCCUGCCCGGUGCCGGAAGGUUAAUUGAUGGGGUUAGCCGCAAGGCGAAGCUCUUGAUCGAAGCCCCGGUAAACGGCGGCCGUAACUAUAACGGUCCUAAGGUAGCGAAAUUCCUUGUCGGGUAAGUUCCGACCUGCACGAAUGGCGUAAUGAUGGCCAGGCUGUCUCCACCCGAGACUCAGUGAAAUUGAACUCGCUGUGAAGAUGCAGUGUACCCGCGGCAAGACGGAAAGACCCCGUGAACCUUUACUAUAGCUUGACACUGAACAUUGAGCCUUGAUGUGUAGGAUAGGUGGGAGGCUUGGAAGUGUGGACGCCAGUCUGCAUGGAGCCGACCUUGAAAUACCACCCUUUAAUGUUUGAUGUUCUAACGUUGACCCGUAAUCCGGGUUGCGGACAGUGUCUGGUGGGUAGUUUGACUGGGGCGGUCUCCUCCUAAAGAGUAACGGAGGAGCACGAAGGUUGGCUAAUCCUGGUCGGACAUCAGGAGGUUAGUGCAAUGGCAUAAGCCAGCUUGACUGCGAGCGUGACGGCGCGAGCAGGUGCGAAAGCAGGUCAUAGUGAUCCGGUGGUUCUGAAUGGAAGGGCCAUCGCUCAACGGAUAAAAGGUACUCCGGGGAUAACAGGCUGAUACCGCCCAAGAGUUCAUAUCGACGGCGGUGUUUGGCACCUCGAUGUCGGCUCAUCACAUCCUGGGGCUGAAGUAGGUCCCAAGGGUAUGGCUGUUCGCCAUUUAAAGUGGUACGCGAGCUGGGUUUAGAACGUCGUGAGACAGUUCGGUCCCUAUCUGCCGUGGGCGCUGGAGAACUGAGGGGGGCUGCUCCUAGUACGAGAGGACCGGAGUGGACGCAUCACUGGUGUUCGGGUUGUCAUGCCAAUGGCACUGCCCGGUAGCUAAAUGCGGAAGAGAUAAGUGCUGAAAGCAUCUAAGCACGAAACUUGCCCCGAGAUGAGUUCUCCCUGACCCUUUAAGGGUCCUGAAGGAACGUUGAAGACGACGACGUUGAUAGGCCGGGUGUGUAAGCGCAGCGAUGCGUUGAGCUAACCGGUACUAAUGAACCGUGAGGCUUAACCUU
RNAcentral lists this ribosomal RNA (2904 nucleotides) under Escherichia coli UMEA 3212-1. RNAcentral's name for it is "bacterial LSU rRNA". It matches the Rfam family "Bacterial large subunit ribosomal RNA". Lineage: Bacteria; Pseudomonadati; Pseudomonadota; Gammaproteobacteria; Enterobacterales; Enterobacteriaceae. The record is from RNAcentral.